UAGGCAUUGGUGGAGGUACAAAGUGAGCUGUAGGGAACGGAACUCCACCAGGAAUAGAUGGUGUAUGCCAACUCUGAGAAACUGUUCCAGGGGAUAAAUGUAUCUUCCUUCUAAGAUGAGACCCUUGAACGUUAAGAGAUUUUUCUACCCCGGGCGAAACAUUUGUAGAACCAUUUUGUUCUUUAAAACAUAUCCCCUUUGAGUUUGCUUUGGCAGAAAAUUUGCCCUCGACAACAGCAGGUCCCAGAGAUGACGAAG
This 258-nucleotide unclassified non-coding RNA is filed under the name Hevea brasiliensis (rubber tree). Lineage: Eukaryota; Viridiplantae; Streptophyta; Magnoliopsida; Malpighiales; Euphorbiaceae. The record is from RNAcentral.